Molecule: ribosomal RNA, 253 nt
Filed under: uncultured bacterium
Lineage: Bacteria
Description: partial 16S ribosomal RNA
Rfam family: Bacterial small subunit ribosomal RNA
Source: RNAcentral
UACGGAGGAUGCAAGCGUUAUCCGGAAUGAUUGGGCGUAAAGGGUCCGCAGGUGGCAGUGUAAGUCUGCUGUCAAAGAAUGAGGCUUAACCUUAUCAAGGCAGUGGAAACUACACAGCUAGAGUACGGUCGGGGUAGAAGGAAUUCCUGGUGUAGCGGUGAAAUGCGUAGAGAUCAGGAAGAACACCGGCGGCGAAAGCGUUCUGCUAGACCUGUACUGACACUGAGGGACGAAAGCUAGGGGAGCGAAUGGG